CCUGAAAAACACGCAUGCGCAUUAAGUGGGCGGAUGUAAUGAUUUCGAUGGGAAGAAAUAAUAUUCAGCAUCGAAGGAAUAACAACUGAAAUCAUCCCGUCCUGCAGCAUGCACCUAUGUGAAUGUGGAGAAUGACCAGCAAUGUCCAAGGGGUAGCAGCAGGGUAACACUGCAUGAGGCGGUGCCCCCUGAAGGAGCCCAAAACACUGCUCUUCAAAUGGAACACAUCCAACCUUCAGGUGACCGUGCAGGAUGUACCACUCUGGAACAUCAAGCCUCUCCCCACCUGCCAGCACAUGAAAAUAUUUCUACUUCUGACCAUUGAAGAGAAUGGAAAACCAUUUUCCAGAUCAGCCCUCAUACAUCCUCCUGAUGGCCUAACAACUGAAUGACAUGUCGAUGCUGAGUAUGAUCCAUUUCAAUCAUUUGAGGAAGCUCUCCCUGAUAUAGGGGAUUGGAUGUACAAUGACGGACAUACGUUUAAUGAAGGAUUUGAAGAUGGUUUGAGUGAGGAGUGUGCAGAAGAGUCCAAUUUCAAGGACACAACAGACAAACCAAUACAUGACAAUGCAUCAGAAACCAUGGCAGAGUGCCUUCUGAUCAGCAUGGGUUAUGUAAACUGUCCUAAAGUCACAGGUAAGGCCCUAAGCCAUAUGCUCAAAAUGUUCAAGUUGCUUUAUCCCGAUAGUCUGAACACAGACUGCUUAAACAGUGUGCAGAAGUUCCAAACCUUUUUUUCAUCCCACUCUGCAUCAUCGCCUACUAUAUUACAUAAAUCCUCCAAGAAUUGUUUUGGGCCAAUAGAAAGUAAACAAAUAAAAUGCCUGCUUUGUGGGACCAGUGUGUCAGAAGAAAGGUUCUAAUCCUUUUUUUAAAGUAUGUACAGAUUGAUUUCUUGUUUACCACAGCACAUUCAUGUGCCAAAUGGGCCCUCGUUGGUGAAUAUAAACAUGCAGGUUUUUCUUUGCUGCAAGAUAGUGUAACAUAUGAGACAUGCAGUCAUGUUAUUCCCCUAUUGGAAACCUCUGCAGUACAGUAGUAUUCUUGGAUGACAUAUUGGGUAAAGUUGUUUUCCUUGACUUCACAUCUAUGCCUGGCAUAGUGAUUGCAGUUCAUUUCCCCAACACACUUGACAAGUUUGAAAUAAUGAAGAACUGAACUGGCCUAAGAAGCCACAAAUCAAAUCUUUAAUCCUUGUUAUAAAUGCUCUGAAAAUACACACUGAUGUGAUGUUGCCGUGGAUUCUGUAAAUAUGUACUGUAUAUGGAGUAUCAUUGUUGAUGAUGUUUUUGCAUUGUGUGUAAUAUUUCAGUGGCAAAUAUAUUACAUUUACUUGUUUAAUAAAGCCACUGUCUUUUUUAAUGAAUACAUAGGCCUACUAUGCUACUGCAUUUUAAUAUUAGUCCUUAUGAUGGUGGUUGGAGAGCCAAAUAUCUUCUGAAGUGGUACUUUGUUAAAAGAGUUUGAGAACCACUGCUCUAGAAAGUUCACAAAUGUUAAAAGCUCUUACAAAGUGUCUUGUGAUCAUAUCAGUAUUGUUUGGGUUCAGUUUUAAAUCUCACAAUUGUAGUCACUGAGUUACUGUACAUGACGUGUGGAUAAGAAAUCAACAAAUUAAGUCCAACUUUAUUUAAAUAAACCAUUUAGAUUACAGACCAUAUAUCCAUAUUGUCUGAAUUCAUUAUUUUCUCCCAAUGUUGGCAUGAGAUCAACUGGAAUAUGAUUGAGGUAUAACUAAAUUGUGCCCAUUAAAAUGCAUUUUUUUAGAAAACGGGUAUAUCUAACAACUCAAAUAGUGAGCAGUGAGAGACAAAACCAAGUAUAUCUCUCACUGAGACAUCAUUGAGACAUAUUGAAACCAAUACUCAUCAAUUGUCUUUUUGCCGAAAUAGAAAAGAGACAUCUGAGAACUCAGUGAGUAGUGAGAAACAAAACCAGGUGUUUCUCUCACUGAGUCAUAAUUGAGACAUAUUGGAGACCAGCUCAUUCAUCUCUCAUUUUGGUCUUAGUUGAAAUGGGGAAAAGAGAUAACUAUUAGACAACUAUGAGAUCUCUCAUAGUGCUCACUGUGAGCCUUAUUUCUCAGGAGAUACAUUUGAGAAGAAUGAGAAAACUACUUUGGUCUCCAUUAGUGCUCUUUUAUGUCUAGGAGAUAGAUAUAAGACAUACAUGAGAUCUCAUCUUCAAUUUUGCUUUGCUAUGGGAAACAAGUGUUUGAUGAGCAUUCCUCAACUUUUUCGGUCUUUUUUGACACUCGUGCCAGCUUUUUUUAAGCUUGUUGCAGGCAUCAAAUUCCAAAAUGAGCUAAUAUUUGCAAAAAAAAAAGUUUCUCAGAUCCAACAUCAAAUAUCUUGUCUUUGCAUUCUAUUCAAUUGAAUAUAAGUUAAAAAGGAUUUACAAAUCAUUGUAUUCUGUUUUUAUUUACCAUUUACACAACGUGCUACUUCACUGGUUUGGGGUUUUGUACAUGUUGACAGUACAUUGCAGUGUUAUUUUGUUACAGCCGUGCCCACUGUGUGAAGUACUUUUGCAAGACUCCUAGCAAUAAUAUUACACUUCACCAAAGAGCCUGCUGUAAAAGAAAUGACCAUUGAAUGAAGAUACAUACUCAGGUCACCGUGAUCUGAAAAGGAGAGUGAAGAAUGUUUUUGUAUUCCCCAGAUUCUAAUCAUCUUGGAUGAAUAAACAAGCAAUUCCUAAUUUCA
Molecule: long non-coding RNA, 2705 nt
Organism: Nerophis ophidion (straightnose pipefish)
Lineage: Eukaryota; Metazoa; Chordata; Actinopteri; Syngnathiformes; Syngnathidae
Exons: 4
Source: RefSeq, a predicted model, not a curated record